This 73-nucleotide transfer RNA is filed under the name Taibaiella sp. KBW10. It matches the Rfam family "tRNA". Rfam says of the family: Transfer RNA (tRNA) molecules are approximately 80 nucleotides in length. Their secondary structure includes four short double-helical elements and three loops (D, anti-codon, and T loops). RNAcentral also lists the same sequence under 1 other name. The record is from Rfam by way of RNAcentral. Lineage: Bacteria; Pseudomonadati; Bacteroidota; Chitinophagia; Chitinophagales; Chitinophagaceae.
GCAGAAGUAGCUCAGUUGGUAGAGCACAACCUUGCCAAGGUUGGGGUCGCGAGUUCGAGUCUCGUCUUCUGCU